This is a long non-coding RNA of Salvelinus fontinalis (brook trout), 2416 nucleotides long. RefSeq lists it as uncharacterized. Lineage: Eukaryota; Metazoa; Chordata; Actinopteri; Salmoniformes; Salmonidae. The transcript is spliced from 4 exons. The record is from RefSeq and is a predicted model, not a curated record.
AUGGAUAUGGAAAAGAGAAAAUUGGCAUAGAAGUAUGCCAAUUAACAGGUAAAAUAAAUAAACAUUAUCCUGAUAGAUCUUCAAAUUUGAAUGAAUAUUCUACUGCCAAAAACUUCUCAACAAAUGAAUGCUAUAAGUUAAUCAAAAUAUUUAUACCACCAUCAGUUGUGUGUGAGACUAAAACUUUAACUUUUUCUCAAGAGUUUGAUUCUAGCAAAGUACAAGAUUGUAGAGAGUUAUAUAAAAAAAAACUACUAAUAACAUUCAAGUUUUUAAUUUUCAUAAUUUUGUUAUAAAAGUUAAUAAGUGCAGCUUGGCUAUAUUUAAGAUUUAUGAGACUUCUAACAGGAUAGCAAAAGCAAAACUCAUUGAACACGUUUUGAUGUCAUCUGAAGACCUGACCAAAUAUCUUAAUUCCAAGUAUCUCAGGGACCCAAAACAUAAGCGGACGAAACUGUCGAGCGUUGAUACAUUCAUUCUUGAAGAAAUUUGUAAUAAUGUAAUUUACCUCGAUAGGAAAAAUCUUUAUGAAGCGUUAAUUAUGAAAGUUAUGAAAAAUGGAACAAUUCACGGAAAUGAACCAAAUCCUACAUACAUUAUAGCAGGACAGAUUAUUUGUUUAAUUGACAGGAAUGACAACUAUUGUAAACCUGUGUUCAGAAUGAAUCACUUUAUUGAGGACGGCAACGUUAUUAAAGUGACUGACAUUAAAAUUCCUGAAGAAAAAAUGUCAUAUAGUACAUUUUCUGAAAGGAUUCCAAAGUCUCUAAAAUUCCAACAGUCUCUCAUUUACUUCAUCAAUGGAGAUCAAGCAAACCUUUUUAAUUAUACCCAUAACCAAUUUCAUGCAACUGCUUUAGUGGCGAUGUUAAUAUCAGAGGUAAUCAGAAAUCCAAUUAUGAUGUUUAUUAACAUAAUUGCAAUUAAAAGUAAUUUCUUACAUACAUUUGAUGAGUACCACCGAAUCCUGCCAUCUCUAGCUGGGGGAACCUGGAAAGGUCACAGACCCUAUGGUGCUAAAUUUUUACUGAAAUUAGAUACAUUUCUCAGUGAUGUAUCGUUCAGUGAUUUAUCGUUCAUUCCUUCUGCUGUCGGAGAUCACACACACUGACUCAAAGUGGUUGAGAUGGAAAUGGGAGCAGAACCAUUUUUUAUAAUUUUUUUGUUUCAUAAUAGAUUUUAUUUUUAAUUCAACAUUUUUAUCGAUUCUUAAUAGGUCGAUUCUGGACGGUUGCGCUAACGUAGGCUAAUGCGAUUAGCAUGAGGUUGUAAGUAACAAGAACAUUUCCCAGGACAUAGACAUGUCAGAUAUUGGCAGAAAGCUUAAAUUCUUGUUAAUCUAACUGCACUAUCCAAUUUACAGUAGCUAUUACAACGAAAGAAUACCAUGCUAUUGUUUGAGCGCACAAUUUUCAACAUGAAAAGUUAUUAAUAAACAAACUAGGCACAUUUGGGCAGUCUUGAUACAACAUUUUUAACAGAAAUCCAAUGGUUCAUUGUAUCAGUCUAAAACUUUGCACAUACACUGUUGCACCUGAGCUGAAAUAAUACAUUAUGCCAUUUCUCUUGCAUUUUCAAAGAUGAAUGUACAAAAAUAAUACAAAAGAACGGUUGUUUUUUUCUUUGUACAAUAGGCCCAGCGCUGUCCUGGUUUGUCUGGUGUAGGCUGUCAUUGUAAAUAAGAAUUUGUUCUUUACUGAAUGGUCUAGGUAAAAUCAAGCAAUUUAAAAUAAAUCUAAACCUAAGAAAUUUACAGAGCAAGGCAGUUAACCCGCAACAACUGCUCCCUGGGUGGCAAAAAUUCAUCUUCAUUAUUCUCCAUGUUGCUCCACCUCCACUUCCUGGAGGAGCCAGGUGGGGCCACAGAGCAGGCUCCUCCAUCUACUCCUGCCAACUCUGUCAGUCCACCAGACCCCACAAUCCAGCCUCCACACCAUUGCAGUAACAGCCAUAUCUUCACGUCACAAAGCUUCAGUACUAUCUGAAUGUGUUGAAGUACCACCCAGCAUCCUGUGGCAACCUCAAUGUGAAGCAAAUCAAAUAAACUAAAAUAUACAUCCGCUCUGACCCGUGAAUCCGCACUGACCCGUGAUCACCACCGACUCGGGCUCUACAGAGGUAGCCUUGGACGCCCAGGCUUUGCACACGUUCAAGGACACGAGAUUUAGAAGAAUCCCAGUGAGCAAAAUUAAUGUCCUCCCGAGACCACCACAAGGAUGACUCUCAGCACACCAGUCCGCAGGGACCGAUAAGAUGUGAUUGGAUGUUCAGCAGGAUGUGGACCUCGCCACGUCAUCUGGCCACAGAGAUAAAGGCUAAUGGAUCUGACAGAGAUAGUUUUUUGUUUGAUUUGUUUUGAUUUGUUUUGAUUUGAUGUAAUAUUCUAUAUUAAAAAAGAGACAAACAUACAGAAUAA